GCUGAUGUGGCUCAGAGGUAGAGCACUUCCUUGGUAAGGAAGGGGUCACGGGUUCAAUUCCCGUCAUCAGCUUA
This 74-nucleotide transfer RNA is filed under the name Caudoviricetes sp. Its description in RNAcentral is "tRNA-Thr". It matches the Rfam family "tRNA". Rfam says of the family: Transfer RNA (tRNA) molecules are approximately 80 nucleotides in length. Their secondary structure includes four short double-helical elements and three loops (D, anti-codon, and T loops). Lineage: Duplodnaviria; Heunggongvirae; Uroviricota; Caudoviricetes. The record is from RNAcentral.